RNAcentral lists this ribosomal RNA (253 nucleotides) under uncultured bacterium. RNAcentral's name for it is "partial 16S ribosomal RNA". It matches the Rfam family "Bacterial small subunit ribosomal RNA", at positions 524 to 776 of the family's 1533-position model. The record is from RNAcentral.
UACGUAGGUGGCAAGCGUUGUCCGGAUUUAUUGGGUUUAAAGGGUGCGUAGGCGGCUUAUUAAGUCAGUGGUGAAAUACUCUAGCUCAACUAGAGGGGUGCCAUUGAUACUGAUGAGCUUGAGUACAGAUGAGGUAGGCGGAAUUGACGGUGUAGCGGUGAAAUGCUUAGAUAUCGUCAAGAACACCUAUAGCGAAGGCAGCUUACUAUGCUGUAACUGACGCUGAGGCACGAAAGUGUGGGGAUCAAACAGG